CAUAGGUAUCCGCCUAGUAGUGGGGGGACAACCUGGUGAAAACCAGGCUAAUACCGCAUAAGAUCUACGGAUGAAAGGAGGCCUCUUCUUGAAAGCUUUCGCUAUUAGAUGAGCCUAUGUCAGAUUAGCUAGUUGGUAGGGUAAUGGCCUACCAAGGCGACGAUCUGUAGCUGGUCUGAGAGGAUGAUCAGCCACACUGGGACUGAGACACGGCCCAG
This 218-nucleotide ribosomal RNA is filed under the name uncultured bacterium. RNAcentral describes it as "partial 16S ribosomal RNA". It matches the Rfam family "Bacterial small subunit ribosomal RNA", at positions 116 to 334 of the family's 1533-position model. The record is from RNAcentral.